This is a non-coding RNA of Aegilops tauschii subsp. strangulata, 694 nucleotides long. Lineage: Eukaryota; Viridiplantae; Streptophyta; Magnoliopsida; Poales; Poaceae. The record is from RefSeq and is a predicted model, not a curated record.
UUCUGGUGAAUAUCACUAUUGUAUAUCAGGUAGUGAGCUCGCCCGUCCCCCGGCGGCGAAAUCUACUGUUCCUCGGCCGGGAGGAGUCGGCGACCUCGGCCGGCAGGAGUCGGCGACGGGCGCCUGAUCUAAACCCGGUGCUUGCUAAGAUGACAGCAGAUUUGCCGGUGGAUACAGUGGACUGCUUGCCAGUUUUCGGGGACGAGGCAUGUAGUGCCGCCGUUCCUAAUGUAACGGCGGCCGGGCUAGCGCAUACGUUGGUUCAAUCAGCCGGUGGAUCCAGAUGGUGGAUUAUUGACGAGGUUUGUGUCUAGCUGCACAGAAUGGUGGCAUUACUCGGGGUGAGCAAAUCAGCGUCGACGGCGGAGGUGGCGCUGUGUCGGACCUGAACGAGAGCGAGGGAGACAAUUUCGAUGCGCUGGACCUGGGUGGAAAGGAGGGCGAUGAACCCUACCCCAUGGAUUCGGUUAUUGCAGAGCAGGCUCAGAGCGCAGAUGGUGCAUAUGCUCAUUCGACAGGGAAGAUUGAUCCUCAAGCUCCUGGUUGGACCAGAAGGUAUAUAUUUUUUCAUUGCUUUUAAGAAUUAGCAUGCAGUAGAAUUUGACACUUAAUGUGUAGUUGAAAUAAUGCGUACCACACGGUGUCUUAACUGUAUCUUGGCUUCAAUAUUAAUCAGAUACAUGUUCUUGGUGUU